Long non-coding RNA from Ananas comosus (pineapple), 254 nucleotides. RefSeq lists it as uncharacterized. The record is from RefSeq and is a predicted model, not a curated record. Lineage: Eukaryota; Viridiplantae; Streptophyta; Magnoliopsida; Poales; Bromeliaceae. The transcript has 3 exons.
UUUUUUGCGUUUGUAGCACUUCUAUAAGUGCACCCCACGCCCCUUAGGGCCUCCCCUGUGCUGAGACCAGCAGGAGUUGAGAGCUUGGAGAGGAGCUAGUGGCUGCGGAGAUCUUCAACAUCACUUGGAUUGGAGCUAAGUUUGGAGCUUCUUGAGAGGGCAUUUGAGGCUUGAUUCCUUGAAUUAGAACCUUCCUCUAGAUUGGAUUGGAAGGGUUCUAACCUCCUUUUUGAGCUUGUGAAAAGAUUUUCCAU